GAGUUUUGAUCAUGGCUCAGAUUGAACGCUGGCGGCAGGCCUAACACAUGCAAGUCGAACGGUAACAUUUCUUGCUUGCUCGUCGCUGACGAGUGGCGGACGGGUGAGUAAUGCUUGGGAACUUGCCUUUGCGAGGGGGAUAACAGUUGGAAACGACUGCUAAUACCGCAUAAUGUCUUCGGACCAAACGGGGCUUCGGCUCCGGCGCAAAGAGAGGCCCAAGUGAGAUUAGCUAGUUGGUAAGGUAACGGCUUACCAAGGCGACGAUCUCUAGCUGUUCUAUGAGGAAGGAUCA
Molecule: ribosomal RNA, 295 nt
Filed under: bacterium C5(2012)
Lineage: Bacteria
Description: partial 16S ribosomal RNA
Rfam family: Bacterial small subunit ribosomal RNA
Source: RNAcentral